AAAAAAUGUCGUAGUACAAUAAGGUGACAGAAAUGGUUAAAAAAUGUCAUAGUUUUGUAAGGUGUCAAAAAUGGUCAAAAAAUGUUGCAGUACAAUAAGGUGUCAAAAAUAGUCAAAAAAUGUCAUGGUAAUGUAUGACAUCAAAAAUGGUCAAAAAAUGACCUGGUACAGUAAGGCGUGAAAAAUGGUCAAAAAAUGUCAUAGUUUUGUAAGGUGUCAAAAAUGGUCAAAAAAUGUCAUCCUAUUGUGUGGUGUCAAAAAUGGUCAAAAAAUGUUGCGGUACAAUAAGGUGUCAAAAAUGGUCAAAAAAUGUCGUAGUACAAUAAGGUGUCAAAAAUGGUCAAAAAAUGUUGCGGUACAAUAAGGUGUCAAAAAUGGUCAAAAUAUGUCGUAGUACAAUAAGGUGACAGAAAUGGUUAAAAAAUGUCAUAGUUUUGUAAGGUGUCAAAAAUGGUCAAAAAAUGUUGCAGUACAAUAAGGUGUCAGAAAUGGUCAAAAAUGUUGCAGUACAGUAAGGUGUCAAAAAUGGUCAAAAAAUGUUGCAGUACAGUAAGGUGUCAGAAAUGGUCAAAAAAUGUUGCCGUACAAUAAGGUGUCAAAAAUAGUCAAAAAAUGUCAUGGUAAUGUAUGACAUCAAAAAUGGUCAAAAAAUGACCUGGUACAG
Long non-coding RNA from Lates calcarifer (barramundi perch), 664 nucleotides. RefSeq lists it as uncharacterized. The record is from RefSeq and is a predicted model, not a curated record. Lineage: Eukaryota; Metazoa; Chordata; Actinopteri; Centropomidae. The transcript has 5 exons.